Molecule: unclassified non-coding RNA, 218 nt
Filed under: uncultured fungus
Lineage: Eukaryota; Fungi
Description: sequence contains ITS1, 5.8S rRNA gene
Rfam family: 5.8S ribosomal RNA (bases 170-218)
Source: RNAcentral
UUUCCGUAGGUGAACCUGCGGAAGGAUCAUUAUUGUGAACCUCGGGGCGUUCCGCGAGAGCGGUCCGUCCCAACCUCAAACCACUGUGAACAACCGCCGUCGGCCGUCGCCGUCGGCACAACCUUUACACCUGUCGUACUACGUCCAGAAAGUAAAAACAAAAGAGUACAACUCUCAACGAUGGAUCUCUUGGCUCUCGCAUCGAUGAAGAACGCAGC